GUAGGUUAGUGUAGAGGUUAGUGUAAGGGUCAGUAUAGGAAUUGUGUAGGUUAGUGUAAGGGUCAGUAUAGGAAUUGAGUAGGUUAGUGUAGAGGUUAGUGUAAGGGACAGUAUAGGAAUUGUGUAGGUUAGUGUAGUGGUCAAUAUAGCAAUUGUGUAGGUUAGUGUAGAGGUUAGUGUAAGGGUCAGUAUAGGAAUUGUGUAGGUUAGUGUAGAGGUUAGUGUAAGGGUCAGUAUAGGAAUUGUGUAGGUUAGUGUAGAGGUUAGUGUAAGGGACAGUAUAGGAAUUGUGUAGCUUAGUGUAGUGGUCAAUAUAGCAAUUGUGUAGGUUAGUGUAGAGGUUAGUGUAAGGGUCAGUAUAGGAAUUGUGUAGGUUAGUGUAAGGGUCAGUAUAGGAAUUGAGUAGGUUAGUGUAGAGGUUAGUGUAAGGGACAGUAUAGGAAUUGUGUAGCUUAGUGUAGUGGUCAAUAUAGCAAUUGUGUAGGUUAGUGUAGAGGUUAGUGUAAGGGUCAGUAUAGGAAUUGUGUAGGUUAGUGUAAGGGUCAGUAUAGGAAUGAGAUAGGUCAGUAUAGGAAUCAGGCUGGUCAGUACUAUUGUAGGAAGGGAAGGGACUCGGGAGUGCGAAAAGUCCGCAGGUUAGGGGGCGCAAAUUACUUGCCUUGCCCCGACGCUGACAACACAGGCUACGCCACUACCUUUAGGUUAGUUAUACCGAGGACUUCUUUGUGAACCGUCCUUGCCCAUUGUAAUAUGGCCGCUAUGUAAUCAACAAUGAAGAAGUCACAGAUUCCUCAUGAUUGCUGCUUUGUGUUACCUAAGAAAUAAACCACUACAGACAGGCUGUGCGGCUGCAGAGCAGCGAAGUCAUCGGGGUAAUGUCAUUUUUUUUUUUCGGUUUCCUGUGUUUUAGUGUGUAGUCAUAUGAAAAAUGUCCUCUCGGCAGCAACGCUUAAAUAAUGCCUUUGGUUGGCUGUUAACAUCACGCCUCCACUGACUACUGUGUGGGAUCCAAGUAAUUUGUAACUGAAAACACUGUAUAAUUACAAUUGUUACAACAGCUAAGCUUUUCUCAAUGGAGGGAUAAAUGUAAUGUACUCUUGGAGUAAUGUUUAUGUAACAAUGGUGACCUCCUGUGGUCAGCACAUGUUUAAGGGAUGCAGGGACCGGAGAAUACUGUUUGUCUGGAUCAGUAAAAGGAUAGCAGGUCUGUGCGUCAUUGCCAGCGUGGUAUGAACAUGUUAUGAAACUUCUGAAUUGUGCUUGGUAGUUUGGAUCUGAAAUGAUGCUUUCUCAUUGUUCUGUGUCAUUGCCUGCUGUAGUUAUGAAAACACUUUCCUUUCUUCUGUUUGAUUACUCUAUUACGUAAGUUAUAAUUUCUGCUGCACUGUAUACCACUGAUAAGCACCAUUUGUAGGUGGCUGGAAAAAAGUCACAGCCCAUCUCCUCAAGACACUUGUUUUAAAGAGACAGUACAGAACAUUUUGGUAGCGUUUUAAGCAGUAUUAAACCCAAUUUAAAAAAAUGUGUUAUGUUGCAGCUAACAAAUUUUUAGGUGUGGUGGGGUGGCUACAUUUGUUUUUCUUUUCACCCAGUAAUUAUGCCAUUUAAAGUGUUACCAAA
Rana temporaria (common frog) is the source of this 1620-nucleotide long non-coding RNA. RefSeq lists it as uncharacterized. NCBI's taxonomy places the organism in Eukaryota, Metazoa, Chordata, Amphibia, Anura, Ranidae. The transcript is spliced from 5 exons. The record is from RefSeq and is a predicted model, not a curated record.